ACACAGCGAAUCCCGCGCGAGAAAGACUGAAACCCAAAAUUACCCCUUCUUCUUUUCGAGCCACCGUUUUAACUCCCUACCCUUUUCAGGAACUACUUCCCGCUAUACUUAACCGAAACUUCUCUACUUCAUCCUCUGAUCUCCGACCACCGAAACCGAAACCCUAAACCACAAAUUCCGAUCUCCGACCAGUCAAUUACACGAAAUUGAAUAUUGGAUCGUCGCUGGUCACCUUGAUUUUGUCGUUAAAUCCCUCUAUGACGAAGGAAUUCAGCGUUCCACCGGUCAUCUUCCCCUCCGGCGGCAAUCCAACUGUGGCCGGCGGAGCCGGCUUGCAGCUUCGGCCGCCCCCGCCGGCUCCC
This 362-nucleotide long non-coding RNA is filed under the name Linum usitatissimum (flax). RNAcentral describes it as "long non-coding RNA (LUSI_LNC004158)". The record is from RNAcentral. Lineage: Eukaryota; Viridiplantae; Streptophyta; Magnoliopsida; Malpighiales; Linaceae.